AGUCACUGACAUUAGAUACCCGGGUAGUCCAGGGUGUAAACGCUGCAGACUUGGUGUUGGAAGCCCUUUGGGGGCAUUCAGUGCCGGAGAGGAGUUGUUAAGUCUGCUACUUGGGGAGUACGUCCGCAAGGAUGAAACUUAAAGGAAUUGGCGGGGGAGCACCGCAACGGGAGGAGCGUGCGGUUUAAUUGGAUUCAACACCGUAAAACUCACCAGGGAAGACUGUUACAUGAAGGCCGAGAUGAAGACUCUGCUAGAUUUUCAG
RNAcentral lists this ribosomal RNA (265 nucleotides) under uncultured archaeon. RNAcentral describes it as "partial 16S ribosomal RNA". It matches the Rfam family "Archaeal small subunit ribosomal RNA", at positions 719 to 982 of the family's 1478-position model. The record is from RNAcentral.